RNAcentral lists this ribosomal RNA (504 nucleotides) under uncultured bacterium. Its description in RNAcentral is "partial 16S ribosomal RNA". It matches the Rfam family "Bacterial small subunit ribosomal RNA", at positions 29 to 523 of the family's 1533-position model. The record is from RNAcentral.
AUUGAACGCUGGCGGCAUGCCUUACACAUGCAAGUCGAACGGCAGCAUGGAGAGCUUGCUCUCUGAUGGCGAGUGGCGAACGGGUGAGUAAUGCAUCGGAACGUACCGUGUAAUGGGGGAUAACGUAGCGAAAGUUACGCUAAUACCGCAUACGACCUGAGGGUGAAAGCAGGGGAUCGCAAGACCUUGCGUUAUACGAGCGGCCGAUGUCAGAUUAGCUAGUUGGUGAGGGAAAGGCUCACCAAGGCGACGAUCUGUAGCGGGUCUGAGAGGGUGAUCCGCCACAGGGGGACUGAGACACGGCCCAGACGCCUACGGGGGGCAGCAGGGGGGAUUUUUGGACAAUGGGGGCAACCCUGAUCCAGCCAUGCCGCGGGGGGAAAGAAGGCCUUCGGGCUGUAAUGCUCUUUCGGCCGGGAAGAAAUCGCACAGGCUAAUACUCUGUGUGGAUGACGGUCCCGGAAUAAGAAGCACGGGCUAACUACGUGCCAGCAGCCGCCGUAA